CGGGGUGUAGCGCAGCCUGGUAGCGCACCUGAAUGGGGUUCAGGUGGUCGGAGGUUCAAAUCCUCCCACCCCGACCA
Molecule: transfer RNA, 77 nt
Filed under: Chloroflexota bacterium
Lineage: Bacteria; Bacillati; Chloroflexota
Description: Chloroflexi bacterium (cold seep metagenome) tRNA-Pro
Rfam family: tRNA
About the family: Transfer RNA (tRNA) molecules are approximately 80 nucleotides in length.
Source: RNAcentral